UACAGAGGUCCCAAGCGUUGUUCGGAUUCACUGGGCGUAAAGGGUGCGUAGGUGGCGGGGAAAGUCUGAUGUGAAAUCUCCAAGCUCAACUUGGAAAUGGCAUUGGAAACUACCUUGCUAGAGGAUUGGAGGGGAGACUGGAAUUCUUGGUGUAGCAGUGAAAUGCGUAGAUAUCAAGAGGAACACCAGUGGCGAAAGCGAGUCUCUGGACAAUUCCUGACACUGAGGCACGAAAGCUAGGGGAGCAAACAGG
Molecule: ribosomal RNA, 253 nt
Filed under: uncultured bacterium
Lineage: Bacteria
Description: partial 16S ribosomal RNA
Rfam family: Bacterial small subunit ribosomal RNA
Source: RNAcentral